Long non-coding RNA from Columba livia (rock pigeon), 1395 nucleotides. RefSeq lists it as uncharacterized. The record is from RefSeq and is a predicted model, not a curated record. Lineage: Eukaryota; Metazoa; Chordata; Aves; Columbiformes; Columbidae. The transcript has 3 exons.
GCGUGGCCACGGGUGCGGAUUGUGCACCAGGUGAAGCCACCGAACACUCUGAACCACAGCGUACCGGAGACACAGCACUGUAUUAGUGAGUUACAAACCGUACGAAGGAGACAAUUUAAGAUGACGCUUUCGUAAAAGGUUUGGUAACACUGCAUACAGAGUAAUGAGAAAUCCCUAAUAAACCGGCAAGUCCUGCACGACAAAAGAGGACAGAGAAAUAAAGAUGUUCACUGCCUCUCAGCUGUAGAAUUUAUUCCGUGAACACAGCAAGACUAAUAAAACUCAAUUCCUCGUGCCACAACGCUCAGGACCAAAGGUCGAAAGGAUACGUUCUCCUUGGGUUCAGGUGCCCACUCCCAUGGAUUGUCUUGAAAUGACAAGUGUCAGUUGAGAACCAAAGAGACAAAUACAACACUACUAUAAAACAAGGUGGUGACAAAACGCAAUAGAGAAGAAGAUGAUUAAUGCGCUCUGAAGUAGCAAAACAAAAAGUGAAGGAAACCAUAUGACAACAAAAACCAACUGCAACGUAACACUUGACUAAGAUUAGGAUCUAAUUCCUUUUCAGUCUGCUCCGAAGGGAGGGAGGCACUGGCCAAGCAGCGGAAGGCAGAAAAGACUACACUGAAGGAAGAAAACGGGAAGUUUACCUUUUUUUCUCUAAGAAAACAUGAUAUGGAUGGAGUUCGGGAAGGUAUGCAGUUAUAUGGUCAACAUGAAAAACCACAUUUGAAGUUAAGGAGAAUGGACAUUUUUCCCCAACAGAAAGGAACCUAAAUAGCCUCACAUUGAUCUGUAUACAGCAAGAGGCAGUUUCACUAACUAACAGAGGCAAGUCAUUACAGAAACCUUCCUGCUUCAAAGCCAAAGCAGUGGCAGGGAAAGCAUUCACUGCAUGGAAAAUAAAGAUAUGUUUUAUUUGCAUGGCUGAGUUCUGAAGCUGCUGCCCAACACAUGAGAAAGCAAUCAGCUUCAUUAGCAACUGCAAUUUGGUCACCUCCGUAAAAUGACAAUUGCAAAGGAAAAAGAUGUUUCUCAUCUUCCUUAACCUCCUUCCACCCAGUCGCUCAGCCCACUGGGAGCGUUUGAACUUAGAGAAGAAAAGGACAUCAUACAAGAAGUUUUAAGCUUCCCGUGUGGUGAUGAAAACGCUGGAUCUCUUCUGUAGACUGGAGAGCAACAGCACGUUUGCUUUAUGCAGCAAUAUUGCUUUCCAGUGCCUUCCCAUCUGCUCCAUCACAAGACAGUACCGAGGUAAGAGUGAAUUAUAUCUUAAUGUUCUCCUCCUCCUCUUGCCACGUUUGGGAGGACCCCAACUCCCCAUACAUCCCACAUUUCAGUGUCCCCUACACCUGAGCCCAGCAGACUGAAGGGGGGAGCGGUAUUAGCGAAAAG